Molecule: long non-coding RNA, 1125 nt
Filed under: Naja naja (Indian cobra)
Lineage: Eukaryota; Metazoa; Chordata; Lepidosauria; Squamata; Elapidae
Description: lncRNA (ENSNNAG00000017388.1)
Source: RNAcentral
AUGAACUGUUGUAAAUCGAGGAUUGUCUGUACAUGUUUGUGUGUUGUGUAUGUAUAUAAAAACAUAGGUAUAUUUUGUGACACACAUACCCCCCCCCCAAAAAAAACCCUCCCUAGAUCAGGGGUCCUCAAUCUUGGCACUUGUGGACUUCAACUCCCAGGAUUCCUCAGCCAGCAAAGCCAAUGGAGAGCAAAACUGGCUGAGGAAUCCUGGGAGUUGAAGUCCACCAGUCUUAAAGGGGGCCAAGGUUGGGUAUCCCUGCCCUACAUCCAUCCUAGCAGCAACCGAAGCGCUUCGCCUCCCCGGCGCCCGCCUGAGAGCAAGCCUCAACGCCGCGGAGGCUCAUUCUGCAGGUCCCAAGAUGCCGGAAAGGCUCGGGCUGCCUGUCGGGGACAACCACGGCCGGCUUGGCCACAGAGCUCCCUUGGCAAGCGGGGCGCCGGACGGAUCGGGGCGACUUCCUGGAGGCCGCAGAGCAGGCCCGGCCGACUGGACCCUCGCAGACCAGGAAGCCCUACCGACUGGAUCCAGGGCGGCCGCUCGACCGAGCACCGGAUCCCAGGCCGCCUCCCGCAAGCGCUGCCAGGCCGCCGCUUCUUCCUCGCUGUCACCGUCACUCGCCUCAGGGCCGGGCGCCGCCAUCGCCAAGCCGUGCUCGCCGCGGAGAACUCUGGGAGCCGUAGUCCGGAAGGGAGGGCGGGGCGCGAGACGCGCGGCCUCCCGCGGGAUUCGGAUCAUGAAAUCCCGCCGCCCCACGGACCGCCUCCAGGCCGCGCGGACGGAUCGCUCGCGCCGGAUCUUUUCGCCGCUGGAACCUUCGUGGCGGUGCAAGAGGGGCGAAAGGCGCUUCCGGUGUGCAGGCCUCACUUACUUCCGGCCGGGAGAGGAAAGAAACGUACUCCGUCCGGGAAGAAGAGCGGCGGCUGUGGCCCCUUCCGGAUUCAGUUUCCCACAGAGUUUCAAACUGGAAGCCAAAAAUGGCCAGCAAAGGACCUGCAGCUUCAGCUUCUACAGAAAGUUCCAGUGCAGGUGGAACCAGUGGGAACAGCAGCAACGGGGACAGUACGGGUCAGGACAGCACAUUUGAAUGCAACAUCUGUUUGGACACUGCUAAGGAUGCUGUGA